AAAAAAAAAAGAUGUUAUAUAGCAGACCCUGCCUGUCCGAAUCUAACCAGUGACUUUAAAGAAUGGACCUUUCUUACUACAACCGAUACAACCACGCUAUCAAGUACCACUUCUACCGAUCAGGGAGAUACUUCUAUUGAUAAAAACUGGGUAGCGAUACUAACGGGUGUUAUAGGUGUAAUUAUUUUCAUAUUCAUCUGUUCAGGAUUUACUUGGAAACGUUUUCGAAAUGCAAAGAAAAGGGACAAGCCAUCUUCUUUAGAUGUGCGCUAUACAAGAUCCAGGAAGAAUCAACAUCCUGAAACAGAAGGUUUAUUUCAAGAGAUAGUAAAUGAACAGAUGAGAGGAGGGGGUA
Saccostrea cuccullata (small rock oyster) is the source of this 355-nucleotide long non-coding RNA. RefSeq lists it as uncharacterized. The transcript is spliced from 3 exons. The record is from RefSeq and is a predicted model, not a curated record. Lineage: Eukaryota; Metazoa; Mollusca; Bivalvia; Ostreida; Ostreidae.